RNAcentral lists this ribosomal RNA (2003 nucleotides) under marine sediment metagenome. RNAcentral describes it as "bacterial LSU rRNA". It matches the Rfam family "Bacterial large subunit ribosomal RNA", at positions 1 to 1999 of the family's 2925-position model. The record is from RNAcentral.
ACAAGUUAAUAAGAGCAACAGGCGGAUGCCUUGGCGCUGAUAGGCGAAGAAAGACGUGGUAGGCUGCGAUAAGCCUCGGGUAGGAGCCAAACAUCCUUUGAUCCGAGGAUUUCUGAAUGGGGAAACCCGGCGGGAGUAAUGUCCCGUCACCUUUUGGCUGAAUACAUAGGCCGAUUGGAGCAGACCUGGUGAAGUGAAACAUCUCAGUAACCAGAGGAAAGGAAAUCAAAAGAGACUCCCUCAGUAGUGGCGAGCGAACGGGGAAUAGCCCAAACCGUGUGGAUACGUCCAUGCGGGGUUGUAGGACCUUAAUGUGGGAUUCGUGAUUAGGCAGGAGAAGUCGGCUGGAAAGCCGCACCGUAGAGGGUGAUAGUCCUGUAUCUGAAACCGAAAGCGACCCUAGAGGCACCUGAGUACUGCGAGGCACGUGAAACCUCGUGGGAAUCCGGGAGGACCAUCUUCCAAGGCUAAGUACUAAUCAGCGACCGAUAGUGAAGCAGUACCGUGAGGGAAAGGUGAAAAGAACCCCUGUUAGGGGAGUGAAAUAGAACCUGAAACCUGUUGCUUACAAGCUGUGAGAGUGGAUUUAUUCCAUGAUCGCGUGCCUUUUGCAUAAUGAGUCAGCGAGUUAUUCUGUCCAGCGAGGUUAAGCGUAAGUGAAGCCGCAGCGAAAGCGAGUCUGAACAGGGCGUUAAGUUGGGCGGAGUAGACCCGAAACCGGGUGAUCUAUCCAUGUGCAGGUUGAAGCACGGGUAAAACCGUGUGGAGGACCGAACCAGUAAGGGCUGAAAACCUUUUGGAUGACGUGUGGAUAGGGGUGAAAGGCCAAUCAAACUCGGUGAUAGCUGGUUCUCCCCGAAAUAUAUCGAGGUAUAGCCUCAAGGAUUGUCUAUCGGAGGUAAAGCACUGACAAGGCUAGGGGUCCCACCAGAUUACCAAACCUUAUCAAACUCUGAAUACCGAAUAGAUGUACCUUGGGAGUCAGACUGCGGGUGCGAAGGUCCGUAGUCAAAAGGGCAAGAGCCCAGACCGACAGCUAAGGCCUCCAAAUUCAUACUCAGUGGCAAAGGUAGUGGAGUCGUACAGACAGCCAGGAAGUUGGCUUAGAAGCAGCCAUCUUUUAAAGAAAGCGUAAUAGCUCACUGGUCUAAUGAUUCUGCGCCGAAGAUGUAACGGGGCUAAGUAUGAUGCCGAAGCUUCGGAUCCGCACUAUGUGCGGGUGGUAGGGGAGCGUUCUCUACGGGAAGAAGGUCAAGCUGUAAGGCGGGCUGGACUGUAGAGAAGUGAUUAUGCUGACAUAAGUAACGAUAAAACGGGUGAAAAACCCGUUCGCCGUAAACCCGAGGAUUCCUGGGUAAAGCUAAUCUGCCCAGGGUUAGUCGGUCCCUAAGGCGAGGCCGAAAGGCGUAGCCGAUGGGAAACAGGUUAAUAUUCCUGUACCGGUAUGAACGCGCGAAGGAGGGACGCAGGAGGAUAGGUCAGCCAGCUGUUGGAAUAGCUGGUGUAAGCAUGUAGGUAGAAGCCGUAGGCAAAUCCGCGGUUUCAUAGCCAAGGUGCGAUGCCGUGGCCGCAAGGCCUGAAGUGAUUGAGUCCAAACUGCCAAGAAAAUCUUCUAAGUAUAGUUCAUGCCGACCGUACCGCAAACCAACACAGGUGGGUGGGUGGAAUACACCAAGGCGCUCGAGAGAACUCUGGCCAAGGAACUCGGCAAACUAACCCCGUAACUUCGGGAGAAGGGGUGCUCCUGCUGGUGACUGAAAUCAUCAUGAGCUGGCGGGAGCCGCAGAGAAAUGGCGGUGGCGACUGUUUACUAAAAACAUAGGUCUAUGCUAAGUCGUAAGACGAAGUAUAUGGGCUGACGCCUGCCCGGUGCCGGAAGGUUAAGAGGAGAGGUCAGCGCAAGCGAAGCUUUGAAUCGAAGCCCCGGUAAACGGCGGCCGUAACUAUAACGGUCCUAAGGUAGCGAAAUUCCUUGUCGGGUAAGUUCCGACCUGCACGAAUGG